AUGAAUGGGAAUACUGUACAGUGGCGUUUAACAGGCUUUUAUGGGCACCCCAACUGGAGUGACCGUGCUUUGUCAUGGGAUGAUAUUCGAAAUUUGUAUAAGAAGGGCGAUCACCCAUGGGUAGUUUUAGGAGAUUUUAAUGAAAUUUUGUUAUCAUCAGAGAAAGAGGGAGGGAAUGUGAGACCAAAUGUGAUGAUGAGAGAUUUUCGUAAUUGUUUGGGAGAUUGUGGACUAGCAGAUAUGGGAUGUAUGGGUGACUUAUUUACAUGGAGGAGCGGCGAAAUCAGGGAAAGACUAGAUCGAGCGGUCUGUAAUGUGGAUUGGGCGAAUAAAUUCCCUCGAGCGGCGGUUAUUAACGAAGAACAUGUACACUCAGACCAUCACCCUAUUAUUUUAGACACGGAAUAUUUUGACGAUAAUAUUUUUGACCGCUCAAAAAGUCGAAGGAAACAUUUUGAAGCUCGACGGCUGAAAGAAGAGACGGUUACGGAAGUUGUACGUACAGCUUGGGAAAAACGAAGAUGUUGGGCAUAG
Molecule: ribosomal RNA, 534 nt
Filed under: Triticum aestivum (bread wheat)
Lineage: Eukaryota; Viridiplantae; Streptophyta; Magnoliopsida; Poales; Poaceae
Description: partial small subunit ribosomal RNA
Source: RNAcentral